UCCAUUUAUUUUUAUUUCUAGUCUGAAUGAAUCUGAAAGCAUAUCACACCCCGCUUCCUUGUACCCCUGAAAUAUAGUUAUAGAUCCAGGCUAAAAGGAUGCUUUGAUUUAAUAAUUUGCUGCUGUGUCUAACCCUUGCUGCAUGUAAUUCACUGCAGGCAGAACAAAGCUCUGUCACAACUGUGCUUCCUGGUUGUCGCCUCCUGCCUGCAAACCACUGAACAUUUUCCACUUGAUAUCGUCAUGCAGAAAGGGAGAAACGAGACGCAAUGAGAGAUUCAGAUACCAAAAGAUUAAAGUCAGAUGCUCGUCUACAAACUGCCUAACCAUUGUCCUUCGCUGGUGAGAUAAAAGGAAGAAGUCACGGAAAGAGAGGAACUACACCAGGCUUCAGAUUUUGGACUAUACGACAAGACUCUGUAAGAUACUCGGUG
RNAcentral lists this long non-coding RNA (434 nucleotides) under Chrysemys picta bellii (western painted turtle). RNAcentral describes it as "lncRNA (ENSCPBG00000026616.1)". Lineage: Eukaryota; Metazoa; Chordata; Testudines; Emydidae. The record is from RNAcentral.